UACGAAGGGGGCUAGCGUUGUUCGGAAUUACUGGGCGUAAAGCGCACGUAGGCGGGUUAUUAAGUCAGGGGUGAAAUCCCAGAGCUCAACUCUGGAACUGCCUUUGAUACUGGUAAUCUAGAGAUCGGAAGAGGUUAGUGGAAUUCCCAGUGUAGAGGUGAAAUUCGUAGAUAUUGGGAAGAACACCAGUGGCGAAGGCGGCUAACUGGUCCGAUACUGACGCUGAGGUGCGAAAGCGUGGGGAGCAAACAGG
This 253-nucleotide ribosomal RNA is filed under the name Hyphomicrobiales bacterium. Its description in RNAcentral is "partial 16S ribosomal RNA". It matches the Rfam family "Bacterial small subunit ribosomal RNA", at positions 524 to 776 of the family's 1533-position model. RNAcentral also lists the same sequence under 1 other name. The record is from RNAcentral. Lineage: Bacteria; Pseudomonadati; Pseudomonadota; Alphaproteobacteria; Hyphomicrobiales.